GACGAACGCUGGCGGCGUGCUUAACACAUGCAAGUCGAACGGUGAAGCUCCAGCUUGCUGGAGUGGGUCAGUGGCGAACGGGUGAGUAACACGUGAGCAACCUGCCCCAGACUCUGGAAUAAGCGCUGGAAACGGCGUCUAAUACUGGAUACGAGAUCAAGCCGCAUGGUUAUGGUCUGGAAAGUUUUUCGGUUUGGGAUGGGCUCGCGGCCUAUCAGCUUGUUGGUGAGGUAAUGGCUCACCAAGGCGACGACGGGUAGCCGGCCUGAGAGGGCGACCGGCCACACUGGGACUGAGACACGGCCCAGACUCCUACGGGAGGCAGCAGUGGGGAAUAUUGCACAAUGGGCGAAAGCCUGAUGCAGCGACGCCGCGUGAGGGAUGACGGCCUUCGGGUUGUAAACCUCUUUCAGCAGGGAAGAAGCGAAAGUGACGGUACCUGCAGAAGAAGCACCGGCUAACUACGUG
RNAcentral lists this ribosomal RNA (468 nucleotides) under uncultured bacterium. RNAcentral's name for it is "partial 16S ribosomal RNA". It matches the Rfam family "Bacterial small subunit ribosomal RNA", at positions 28 to 507 of the family's 1533-position model. The record is from RNAcentral.